UACGUAGGGGGCAAGCGUUGUCCGGAAUCAUUGGGCGUAAAGAGCGUGUAGGCGGCCCGGUAAGUCCGCUGUGAAAGUCCAGGGCUCAACCCUGGGAUGCCGGUGGAUACUGUCGGGCUCGAGUCCGGAAGAGGAGUGUGGAAUUCCUGGUGUAGCGGUGAAAUGCGCAGAUAUCAGGAGGAACACCAAUGGCGAAGGCAGCACUCUGGGACGUGACUGACGCUGAGGUGCGAAAGCGUGGGGAGCAAACAGG
RNAcentral lists this ribosomal RNA (253 nucleotides) under uncultured bacterium. RNAcentral's name for it is "partial 16S ribosomal RNA". It matches the Rfam family "Bacterial small subunit ribosomal RNA", at positions 524 to 776 of the family's 1533-position model. The record is from RNAcentral.